AUUGAACGCUGGCGGCAGGCCUAACACAUGCAAGUCGAGCGGAGAUGAGGUGCUUGCACCUUAUCUUAGCGGCGGACGGGUGAGUAAUGCUUAGGAAUCUGCCUAUUAGUGGGGGACAACAUUCCGAAAGGAAUGCUAAUACCGCAUACGUCCUACGGGAGAAAGCAGGGGAUCUUCGGACCUUGCGCUAAUAGAUGAGCCUAAGUCGGAUUAGCUAGUUGGUGGGGUAAAGGCCUACCAAGGCGACGAUCUGUAGCGGGUCUGAGGGGAUGAGCCGCCACACCGGGACUGAGACACGGCCCAGACUCCUACGGGAGGCAGCAGUGGGGAAUAUUGGACAAUGGGGGAAACCCUGAUCCAGCCAUGCCGCGUGUGUGAAGAAGGCCUUAUGGUUGUAAAGCACUUUAAGCGAGGAGGAGGCUACUGAGACUAAUACUCUUGGAUAGUGGACGUUACUCGCAGAAUAAGCACCGGCUAACUCUAUGCCAGCAGCCGCGGUAA
RNAcentral lists this ribosomal RNA (501 nucleotides) under uncultured bacterium. RNAcentral's name for it is "partial 16S ribosomal RNA". It matches the Rfam family "Bacterial small subunit ribosomal RNA", at positions 30 to 523 of the family's 1533-position model. The record is from RNAcentral.